CCUACGGGAGGCUGCAGUGGGGGAUAUUGCACAAUGGGGGAAACCCUGAUGCAGCGACGCCGCGUGAGUGAAGAAGUAUUUCGGUAUGUAAAGCUCUAUCAGCAGGGAAGAAAAUGACAGUACCUGACCAAGAAGCCCCGGCUAACGACGUGCCAGCAACCGCGGUAAUACGUAGGGGGCAAGCGUUAUCCGGAUUUACUGGGUGUAAAGGGAGCGUAGGCGGUUAUGUAAGUCUGGAGUGAAAGGCCGGGGCCCAACCCCGGGAGUGCUUUUGAAACUGUGUAACUGGAGUGCAGGAGGAGCAGGCGGAAUGCGUGGUGUAGCGGUGAAAUGCAUAGAUAUCAGGAAGAACGCCGACGGCGAAGGCAGCCUGCUGGAGUGAAACUGACGCUGAGGCUCGAAAGCGUGGGGAGCGAACAGGAUUAGAUACCCCAGUAGUC
This 440-nucleotide ribosomal RNA is filed under the name uncultured bacterium. Its description in RNAcentral is "partial 16S ribosomal RNA". It matches the Rfam family "Bacterial small subunit ribosomal RNA", at positions 338 to 795 of the family's 1533-position model. The record is from RNAcentral.